Vigna unguiculata (cowpea) is the source of this 431-nucleotide RNA transcript. It is a transcript of the gene named pentatricopeptide repeat-containing protein At2g37320 pseudogene, with no coding region annotated. Lineage: Eukaryota; Viridiplantae; Streptophyta; Magnoliopsida; Fabales; Fabaceae. The record is from RefSeq and is a predicted model, not a curated record.
UCUGUUCAAUACAGUCUUCCAUUUGCUCCAAUCGGCCGUGCAGACGAUUAGUGUAUCUGUCUAAAGACUCCUAUGCUUAAGUCAGUUAAGGUUUUGGUUUGGCCGACUGAUCGAAGAUCGUAUGGGUGUCCUUAUAGGUGAGGGUUUCCAUGAAGAUGGAGACAAAGUUCAAAUGGAGAUGAAGGCGGAGGGAGUGUUUAGUCCGUCUGGCCGACAGGUAGCCGAUUUAGCGUGUUCAUAACUGAGACUCCGAUGGAACGAUCAUCUCAGCGUUCAAUGUGAAGUUCGCAUGUAGCAGGCGGCCUGGGGCCGCUUGACCUUAGUCCGCUUUACUGAUCUGCCGAUGGGCUACACAAUACACUUUGUAAGAUAAUAGAUUGAUGAUUAAUUAUUUAUAAAAUAAAAUGGAUGAAUUUGAUUCCAUUUAUGUU